UACGUAGGGUGCAAGCGUUAAUCGGAAUUACUGGGCGUAAAGCGUGCGCAGGCGGUUAUGUAAGACAGACGUGAAAUGCCCGGGCUUAACCUGGGAACUGCAUUUGUGACUGCAUGGCUAGAGUUUGGCAGAGGGGGGUAGAAUUCCACGUGUAGCAGUGAAAUGCGUAGAUAUGUGGAGGAACACCGAUGGCGAAGGCAGCCCCCUGGGUCAAGACUGACGCUCAUGCACGAAAGCGUGGGGAGCAAACAGG
RNAcentral lists this ribosomal RNA (253 nucleotides) under uncultured bacterium. RNAcentral describes it as "partial 16S ribosomal RNA". It matches the Rfam family "Bacterial small subunit ribosomal RNA", at positions 524 to 776 of the family's 1533-position model. The record is from RNAcentral.